CGCAUCUGUGCAUGCAGCAUAUCAAUAAGCGGAGGAAAAGAAACUAACAAGGAUUCCCCUAGUAACGGCGAGUGAAGCGGGAAGAGCUCAAAUUUGAAAUCUUCAAGGUUCUACCUUGACGAAUUGUAGUUUAAAGAAGUGUUUUCUGUUGAGGUUUUGGUAAAAGUUCUUUGGAAUAGGACAUCAUAGAGGGUGAGAAUCCCGUAUUUGACCUUUACUUUCAACUUUGUGAUACACUUUCAAAGAGUCGGAUUGUUUGGGAAUGCAGUCCAAAAUGGGUGGUAAAUUUCAUCUAAAGCUAAAUAUUGGCGAGAGACCGAUAGCGAACAAGUACCGUGAGGGAAAGAUGAAAAGAACUUUGAAAAGAGAGUUAAACAGUACGUGAAAUUGUCAAAAGGGAAGCGUUUGACACCAGUGUUGUUUUUCUGAAAAUCAAUUAAAGAACUGUUUAUGCUAAGCUGUUUAGACUUUAUCAGCUAACUGUUUAGUUUUGAGCUUUUCUUUAAUGCACUUUUCAGUUAACAAGUCAACAUCAAUGUCUUUUGCUGUAAAAAAGCUUGAGGAAGGUGGCUUGAGAUUCGUCUUAAGUGUUUAUAGCCUCUUGCCUAUGCAGUCGGAGAGAUUGAGGUCUGCAGCGUAGAUCCUUCGGGGCUAAAUGCAUUUGUGCUAAGUUAUAGCAUUUUAUAGACAACUUGUUGACUAUGAUUUGUCUUGUAGCUUACUCGCUUAUGUUAUUUUACCUACGCUUAGGAUGUUGAGCGCAUGUCUCUCUCU
RNAcentral lists this ribosomal RNA (774 nucleotides) under uncultured Neocallimastigales. Its description in RNAcentral is "partial large subunit ribosomal RNA". It matches the Rfam family "Eukaryotic large subunit ribosomal RNA", at positions 26 to 616 of the family's 3401-position model. Lineage: Eukaryota; Fungi; Neocallimastigomycota; Neocallimastigomycetes; Neocallimastigales. The record is from RNAcentral.